This 1909-nucleotide long non-coding RNA is filed under the name Chrysolophus pictus (golden pheasant). RNAcentral describes it as "lncRNA (ENSCPIG00010004748.1)". Lineage: Eukaryota; Metazoa; Chordata; Aves; Galliformes; Phasianidae. The record is from RNAcentral.
GGAGCAUAAAGCUGGGGGGUGGGAGAUGGAAAGUAGGGGAUGGGGGAGCAAAAUUUUGGGGGUGGGGAUCCUGAAAAGGGUGCAGAAGGCUGAAAUUUGGACCCCAGAAGCAGAAGCCUGAAAUUGGGAGCUCUAAACUGGAACCAGGACCCCCCCUCACACCCCCAGUCGGCACCAGGAAUGGGGACCCUAAAAUCAACGCCACGACCUUGAGGCUGGGACCCCAAAACUGAAGGCGGGAUCCCAAAAACAGCAACAGGAUCUUGGGAUUGGAUCCCAAAACUGGAAUUGGGACCUUGGAAUUGAGACCCCAAAAACAGCACCGGGACCCCAGAACUGGGAUCCCCCCAAAUCUGCCCUGGGAUCCCAAAACCGGCACCGGGAUCUUGGAAUUGGACCCCAAAAUCAGCACAAUCUGAGACCAGGACCUUGAAACCGAAACCCCAAAAUCUACCCUGAGAUCCCAAAAGCAGCCCUGUGAUGAUGUAAUCAGCAUCAACGACCCCAAAUUCCUGCACUUGGACUCCAAACCCAACGCCAAGACCCCAAAAAUCAGCAUUGGAGACCCCAAAUUCCAGCUCUGAGACCCCAAAUUUCAGCACUUGAACCCAAAAAUCAGCAUCAGAGACCCUAAAUUCCAGCACCGGGACCCCAAAUAUCAGCAUCAGAGACCCUAAAUUCCAGCACCGGGACCCCAAAUUUCGGCACUCAGACCCAAGAAUCAGUAUUGGAGACCCGAAAUUCCAGCACUGGGACCCCAAAUAUCAGCAUUGGAGACCCUAAAUUCCAGCACUGGGACCUAAAAUCAGCAUUGGAGACCCCAAAUUCCAGCACUGGGACCCUGAAUUCCUGCACUUGAACCCAAAAAUUGGCAUCGGAGACCCCAAAUUCCGGCACUGGGACCCCAAAUUCCAGCACUCGGACCCCAAACCCAGGACCCAGGUUCCAUGGCUGAGGGGUGUGCCCUCCCUGGGGAGGUGACAGAGGGGGACAGCGGUGUCCCCAAAGGGGACAUUGAUGUCCCCGAGGUCACCGUCACUCCUUGGGCCAGCGGCAUCACCAUCACCGUCACGGUGGCACCGGCGGAUGAGGACAUCGGGGACAUUUGGGACAUUGGAGACGUUGGGGACAUUGGGGACAGGGAUGAUGCCCCAAACGUCGCUGCUGAGGACAUUGGGGGUGGGGACGCGGAGCUUGGGGACAUCCCCGUUCCGUGUGACAAAGAGGGCGGGGACAGAGAUGUCCCAACCUUGAAGGAUGUCGGGGAUGGGGAUGGUGGCAUCGGUGUCGCAGCCCUAAGGGACACUGAGAUGACAGAGGGGGUGACACUAAAAGAUGCUGGGGACAGGGGUGUCCCAACCCUUGGGGACAUGGGGGACAGGGAUGUCCCAGUCUAUGAGGACAAGGAUGUCCAUGGGGACAAGAGUGAUGGGGACAGGGAUGUCAUCGGUGUGUGGGACGAUGGGGACAAGGGCUUUGGGGACAGGAAUGUCACCAGCCUAAGGGACAGGGUUUGGGAUGUCCCCGUUCCCAGUCUGGAGAAGGACACUGGGAAUGGGGAUGUGCUGGCUCCUGGAGAUAAGGACACUGGGGACAUUCCAACCCUAAGGGACGUUGGGGACAUCCCAACCCUAAGGGACGUUGGGGACAAGGAUGUCACAGCCCCUAAGGACGAGGACACCAAGGAAAAACGUGUCCCAACCAUGGGGGAUGAGGACCUUGGGGACAAGGAUGGUGGGGACAAGGACACCCCAUCCCUCAUGAGCUUUGGGGACAUUGGGGACAAGGACAUUGGGGACAAGGAGGUCCCAACCUUCAUGAGCUUUGGGGACGUUGGGGACAAGGACACUGGGGACAAGGACGUUGGAGAGAAGGAUGUCCCAUCCCCUAUAGGCUUUGGGGACAAGGA